AUACGUAGGGGGCGAGCGUUGUCCGGAAUGAUUGGGCGUAAAGGGCGCGUAGGCGGCCCGGUAAGUCUGGAGUGAAAGUCCUGUUUUUAAGAUGGGAAUUGCUUUGGAUACUGUCGGGCUUGAGUGCAGGAGAGGUAAGUGGAAUUCCCAGUGUAGCGGUGAAAUGUGUAGAGAUUGGGAGGAACACCAGUGGCGAAGGCGACUUACUGGGCUGUAACUGACGCUGAGGCGCGAAAGUGUGGGGAGCAAACAGGAUUAGAUACCCUGGUAGUCCACACUGUAAACGAUGAAUGCUAGGUGUAGGGGGUAUCGACCCCUUCUGUGCCGCAGUCAACACAAUAAGCAUUCCGCCUGGGGAGUACGGCCGCAAGGUUGAAACUCAAAUGAAUUGACGGGG
This 397-nucleotide ribosomal RNA is filed under the name uncultured bacterium. Its description in RNAcentral is "partial 16S ribosomal RNA". It matches the Rfam family "Bacterial small subunit ribosomal RNA", at positions 523 to 918 of the family's 1533-position model. The record is from RNAcentral.